Molecule: ribosomal RNA, 322 nt
Filed under: uncultured eukaryote
Lineage: Eukaryota
Description: partial 18S ribosomal RNA
Rfam family: Eukaryotic small subunit ribosomal RNA
Source: RNAcentral
CCCUUAGAUGUUCUGGGCCGCACGCGUGCUACACUGAGUGGAUCAGCGGGUCAGGUUGCGCGAAAGUGUUUCCUAAUCUUGAAAUCCGCUCGUGAUGGGGAUUGACGGUUGCAAUUUUCCGUCAUGAACGAGGAAUACCUUGUAAGCGCGGGUCAUCAUCCCGCGCUGAAUACGUCCCUGCCCUUUGUACACACCGCCCGUCGCUCCUACCGAUUGAGUGGUCCGGUGAGGCUUUGGGAUCUGAGCAAAGAGAGCGUUUCGCUCGUUUUGCCCGGAAAACUCAGUCGAACCUUAUCAUUUAGAGGGAGGAGAAGUCGUAACA